This is a long non-coding RNA of Gasterosteus aculeatus aculeatus (three-spined stickleback), 1743 nucleotides long. NCBI's taxonomy places the organism in Eukaryota, Metazoa, Chordata, Actinopteri, Perciformes, Gasterosteidae. The record is from Ensembl.
UAUUUGUAUAAUAAUUCAAGCUUAUUUGCAGGAAACAAACAAGAAUAAAACAAAACUGCUGCAUUCAUAACGCUCACGAUACGUUCUACCGCCAGAUAAUAAAGCCAAGACGAGACGGACGGGUGAAGCUGGUGUAUUCAGCAUUUAUUGUCUGUCAUUUUAAAAACGGCUUGAGGACAAUCAAAAUAUAAAUACAUUUGCCCAGACACACACGCAGACACACGCAGACACACAAUUGGAACUCAUUAACAACUUUCAUCCACACGUUAAUACCCAGAGAGCUUGAUUUGACCUCCAGGGGUCAGGAGGGACCCUCAGUGGGUCGGCGCUCCCUUCAGUCCACCAGUGAGCAGAGACGAGCCUCGUGUCGACAUUUUGGUUUAAAUCUUAAAAUUUCUCUUUUUAAAGUUCCUAAACUGUCAGUGAAUAAUCUGUUGGUGAGUUCGUAGUUAGGACGUCUGCUCCGUCUCCUGGGUGAAAGUCGUGCGUUUGUUGCUUCCUUAUUUCCCGUUAAGUAGCUCAGCGUAACAAACGUCUUCUUCCAGCUCGGUCAGAAAAAACCCAACUGAAAUCCUCCUCGAACGCACCAAUACUUCCAGGGCUGUAAGGAAAGAGCGUUUGAAGUAGUUUCCGUCUGUAAAUCACCUUUUUGUGGACAGAUUUAAAAUAAAAACAUUCUGCUCUGUAGUUACGAACCUUCCAAGCAAAAGAAAAAAAAAAACCACAACCUUUUAACCAACAACACCCGCAGGGAAUAAAGAACAGACCGACAUCUGGCUCUCACGCGCCGAGUCGGGAAUCAAACCGACGUCUUCUUGUGGUCGGGAGCUUCCUGCCCCGCCCCUCACACGCGCAAAUGGUCACGCUAGAUGGUCGUGCAACCCGUGGAAUGAAGCACGUGGAAGAAUACAAGUCCCCCCCCCCAUAACCUUCGUAUUAUUAACCCGGGGAAAGGGGGCGGGUCUGUCGGGGAGCUUCCCUAAAGCCGGGUUCUUUUUCCGGAGCCCAUUACAGGACCGGACGCCGCGGCCCGGGACUCGUCCUCGUGGUGAAACGCCGCAGAGCUCCACAAAUAGAAGACGGAGACACGUCGUCGCCGCCGCCGAUUAACGUCAGUUUGUCCCCAUUCACGCGCUAACGGGGCAGAACCCGCCGAUUAAAGACGCUACGACGCGCAAACACGGCAGCCAAUCAGAGCUCAGAGGGUCGCCAUGCAGGAAGUGGGCGACGUCUUGGCACAAUAACAUAUGUAUAUAUAUAAGAAACGUCUAACUUUAAAUGAAGGAAUCUGUCGCGUGGACGUCUCGGCCGACUGAAGGAACUUUUUACGAGGGGACUGAAAUCUGUAAGUGGCGCUAAUUCGGCGGUUUCUUUUCGGUCAUUUUGAGACGUCUUUAAAUAAAGGAACAGGUCAUCCAGGAAUCAUUCUUUUCUCCCGUGCAGAGAAGAAAACCGCACAGGAGAACGCGAGUCUCUGUCGGGUCGAAUAUCAGCUUCAGGUUACUGGAUUUAAAAGGUUAAAAACGAUCCGUCUCUCUCGCCUCAAAUCAGCGGAGAGCAAAGAAAAGAAGAAGAAAAACGCCCGCAGGUUUUCCUCUCCAGUGGUUUUUAUCCACAACCACAAAAAAAAAAAGGAAUUAAAAAAAUGUCUGCUUUGAAUCGGCUCUCUGUACGUCUGUCACUCGUCGUCAGAAGGACAAACCCGGCCUCUUCUUUCGGGGGGGGGGGGGGGGGGGGGGGCCC